UACGUAGGUGGCAAGUGUUGUCCGGAAUUAUUGGGCGUAAAGCGCGCGCAGGCGGCCUUUUAAGUCUGAUGUGAAAUCUUGCGGCUCAACCGCAAGCGGCCAUUGGAAACUGGGAGGCUUGAGUACAGAAGAGGAGAGUGGAAUUCCACGUGUAGCGGUGAAAUGCGUAGAUAUGUGGAGGAACACCAGUGGCGAAGGCGACUCUCUGGUCUGUAACUGACGCUGAGGCGCGAAAGCGUGGGGAGCAAACAGG
RNAcentral lists this ribosomal RNA (253 nucleotides) under uncultured bacterium. RNAcentral describes it as "partial 16S ribosomal RNA". It matches the Rfam family "Bacterial small subunit ribosomal RNA", at positions 524 to 776 of the family's 1533-position model. The record is from RNAcentral.